RNAcentral lists this ribosomal RNA (478 nucleotides) under uncultured bacterium. Its description in RNAcentral is "partial 16S ribosomal RNA". It matches the Rfam family "Bacterial small subunit ribosomal RNA", at positions 29 to 507 of the family's 1533-position model. The record is from RNAcentral.
ACGCACGCUGGCGGCGUGCUUAACACAUGCAAGUCGCACGAAGCUUGAUUACGGAUUCUUCGGAUGAAGUAUGAUAUGACUGAGUGGCGGACGGGUGAGUAACGCGUGAGUAACCUGCCCUUCAGAGGGGGAUAGCGUUUGGAAACGAACGGUAAUACCGCAUAAUGUAUUUUGACCGCAUGAUCGAAAUACCAAAGAUUUAUCGCUGAAGGAUGGACUCGCGUCUGAUUAGGUAGUUGGUGGGGUAACGGCCUACCAAGCCGACGAUCAGUAGCCGGACUGAGAGGUUGAUCGGCCACAUUGGGACUGAGACACGGCCCAGACUCCUACGGGAGGCAGCAGUGGGGAAUAUUGCACAAUGGGCGCAAGCCUGAUGCAGCAACGCCGCGUGAAGGAAGACGGUUUUCGGAUUGUAAACUUCUGUUCUUAGGGAAGAAUAAUGACGGUAGCUAAGGAGCAAGCCACGGCUAACUACGUG